Molecule: ribosomal RNA, 400 nt
Filed under: uncultured bacterium
Lineage: Bacteria
Description: bacterial SSU rRNA
Rfam family: Bacterial small subunit ribosomal RNA
Source: RNAcentral
GGGGAAUAUUGCACAAUGGAGGAAACUCUGAUGCAGCGACGCCGCGUGGAGGAAGAAGGUUUUCGGAUCGUAAACUCCUGUUGUCGGGGACGAUAAUGACGGUACCCGACAAGAAAGUGACGGCUAACUACGUGCCAGCAGCCGCGGUAAAACGUAGGUCACAAGCGUUGUCCGGAAUUACUGGGUGUAAAGGGAGCGCAGGCGGGGAGAUAAGUUGGGAGUGAAAACUAUGGGCUCAACCCAUAAAUUGCUUUCAAAACUAUCUUUCUUGAGUAGUGCAGAGGUAGGCGGAAUUCCCGGUGUAGCGGUGGAAUGCGUAGAUAUCGGGAGGAACACCAGUGGCGAAGGCGGCCUACUGGGCACCAACUGACGCUGAGGCUCGAAAGUAUGGGUAGCAAAC